Molecule: long non-coding RNA, 341 nt
Filed under: Androctonus crassicauda
Lineage: Eukaryota; Metazoa; Arthropoda; Arachnida; Scorpiones; Buthidae
Source: RNAcentral
CGAAAGGUGGUUCCCAUUACUCUACUGGGUUUUGCGCCACAUAGUAUUGUCCUUCCUUCUCUGCUCAUGAUCCUCUCUUUCCUCCCUUCUUGAUGCUCUCGGUCCCCUUUCUGACUGGCUGUUUCUUGUCGGUAGUUCUGCUAUUUCAUUCCUUUCUUCCUUUUGUUACACAUGCUGUGUUUCCAUGCCAUCGAGGGUUCCCGGUCCAGUCUGCUGUUCGCCGGGCUUUCAGUUCGCGGUCUGCUUGUUGUCUCAAGGGACUCCGCUGUUGUUGGCUGGACAUUUCUCGCUGCAGGUUUUAUACACUUCGCCUCGUCCCAUUUUAUUGUGACAUCUUUGUC